Molecule: ribosomal RNA, 708 nt
Filed under: uncultured archaeon
Lineage: Archaea
Description: bacterial SSU rRNA
Rfam family: Archaeal small subunit ribosomal RNA
Source: RNAcentral
AACCGCGAUAGGCCAAGGUUUCUGGAAUGGACACUGGCUGAAACCUAUAUGGCCCCUGGAUUGGACUGCGGCCGAUCAGGCUGCUGGUGAGGUAAUGGCCCACCAAACCUGUAACCGGUACGGGCUUUGAGAGAAGGAGCCCGGAGAUGGGCACUGAGACAAGGGCCCAGGCCCUAUGGGGCGCAGCAGGCGCGAAAAUUCUGCAAUAGGCGAAAGCUUGACAGAGUUACUCUGAGUGAUGCCCGCUAAGGGCAUCUUUUGGCACCUCUAAAAAUGGUGCAGAAUAAGGGGUGGGCAAGUCUGGUGUCAGCCGCCGCGGUAAUACCAGCACCCCGAGUGGUCGGGACGAUUAUUGGGCCUAAAGCAUCCGUAGCUUGUUCUGCAAGUCUUCCGUUAAAUCCACCUGCUCAACAGAUGGGCUGCGGGAGAUACUACAGGGCUAGGAGGCGGGAGAGGCAAGCGGUACUCAGUGGGUAGGGGUAAAAUCCUCUGAUCCACUGAAGACCACCAGUGGCGAAGGCGGCUUGCCAGAACGCGCUCGACGGUGAGGGAUGAAAGCUGGGGGAGCAAACCGGAUUAGAUACCCGGGUAGUCCCAGCUGUAAACGAUGCAGACUCGGUGAUGGGUUGGCUUUGCGCCAACCCAGUGCCGCAGGGAAGCCGUUAAGUCUGCCGCCUGGGGAGUACGGUCGCAAGACUGAAACUUAAA